ACCAACAUUUGGAACGCAAAUGCUUAUAGUUUAACAUGGAUCCCAACGAAUUAAUCUCCUUGUUGUCUGAGAAGGUGUUGCUGGAUAUUAGGCAAUUCCCGGGUUUACUGGUGAAGAAUUUAGAAGAAGCUAUUUCGGGCAGAGUUGGGUUUAGGAGAAAACACGAGUUUUUCGAGGAUGGAGAUGUACAUCGCCAUUUGUACCUCCAAGAUGUGUUCACCAGCAUUGCAGAAGUAGAGGCCAAGUCCAGUAUAUCGGAAUUUCCUUGUGAAGAGGCAGACUGUGACCAGCUCUUUGACACUUUGAAGUCUUAUGAACAUCACUACAACACAUUGCAUAGAAAUGUUUGUUCCGUCUGCAAAAUAUCUUUUCCAUCUGUCAGGCUUUUGGACAUUCAUAUUUUUGAGGGGCAUGACUCUCUCUUCCAGAUUAUGGCAGAAAACACCAAUAUGUUCCAGUGUUUGGUGGAGGGAUGUAUGGAGAAAUUCAAAACAAUUGGUGAACGGAGAAAUCAUUUAAUCAAAUCCCACCUCUAUCCAUCUGAUUUCCAAUUUGACAAGCCUGAGAGAAAUAAAAGGAGGAUGGUCCGUGGGAGCAUAGGCGUAUGUAAGCCCGCUUUAUUGGGACCGACUUAAUGAGAAUAAGGUUAAUAGAGUUUUGAUAGCACCUUGACAGCUGUUACGCAAUUUGGACUCUUUGCCUAUGGUGUUCCUGACUCCAGACUUUCGGUGUGAGGAAUCAUGUGACAAGUCAUCUCUGGUGAAAAUGUAAAGUGAUCCCUUUAAGGCGGUGCAAAAAUAGUAAUUUAUGAUGGGAUGUAGAAAUAUCAUACAAGGUUUAUUCUCUUUUAUUAUUAUUUUCCUCUUAAUAUAUACUUUUUUCCUGUGCUUUUGGUAAAUCUCUUUGAGAUUCAGGUGGAGAAAACAGGUCCUUGUUUUCAUUUUGUUAAAUGUGUACCUUUU
This is an RNA transcript of Bufo gargarizans (Asiatic toad), 962 nucleotides long. It is a transcript of the gene named zinc finger protein 511, with no coding region annotated. Lineage: Eukaryota; Metazoa; Chordata; Amphibia; Anura; Bufonidae. The record is from RefSeq and is a predicted model, not a curated record. The transcript has 7 exons.